RNAcentral lists this ribosomal RNA (1308 nucleotides) under human gut metagenome. RNAcentral describes it as "bacterial LSU rRNA". It matches the Rfam family "Bacterial large subunit ribosomal RNA", at positions 1126 to 2453 of the family's 2925-position model. The record is from RNAcentral.
AAGAGUGCGUAAUAGCUCACUGGUCGAGUGAUUGUGCGCCGAAAAUGUACCGGGGCUAAACUGUGUACCGAAGUCUAGGGAUCGUGAUAAACGAUCGGUAGGGGAGCAACGUGUGCGGGCUGAAGCCGAAGCGAAAGCGACGGUGGACUGCACGGGAGAGAGAAUGCCGGCAUGAGUAGCGAGAGCAAAGUGAGAAUCUUUGCCGUCGAAAGCCUAAGGUUUCCUGAGGAAGGCUCGUCCUCUCAGGGUAAGUCAGGACCUAAGCCGAGGACAAAAGUCGUAGGCGAUGGACAACUGGUUGAUAUUCCAGUACCACCUUUAGCGUUUGACUGAAGCAGUGACACAGAAGGAUAGACAGAGCGCGUGACUGGUAGAGCGCGUCCAAGCGAUGAGGGAGUUAAGUAGUGAAGCACGCUUAACAAUCCUGGGUCGUGAUGGGGACUGAAAAUAAGUAGGGAAGCUGUUGAAUUCACGCUGGCGAGAAAAGCUGCUAAGGAGCGAAAGGGUGCCUGUACCGCAAACCGACACAGGUAGGCGAGGAGAGAAUCCUAAGACGAGCGGGAGAACCCAUGUUAAGGAACUCGGCAAAAUGACCCUGUAACUUCGGGAUAAAGGGAGCCACGAGAGUGGCCGCAGAGAAUAGGCCCAAGCGACUGUUUACCAAAAACACAGGUCUGUGCGAAGUAGAGAUACGACGUAUACGGGCUGACGCCUGCCCAGUGCCGGAAGGUUAAGGGGAAGUGUUAGGGCAACCGAAGCACGGAACUUAAGCCCCGGUGAACGGCGGCCGUAACUAUAACGGUCCUAAGGUAGCGAAAUUCCUUGUCGGGUAAGUUCCGACCCGCACGAAUGGCGUAACGACUUGGGCACUGUCUCAACAUGGGACCCGGCGAAAUUGUAGUAUGUGUGAAGAUGCACAUUACCCGCGAUAGGACGGAAAGACCCCGUAGAGCUUUACUGUAGUUUAACAUUGGAUUUCGGUAACAUAUGUACAGGAUAGGUGGGAGGCGAAGAACCAGGGACGCCAGUUUCUGGGGAGCCGACCUUGGGAUACCACUCUUGUGUUAUUGGAGUUCUAACGAAUUGCCGUGAACCGGGAUUCGGACAGUGUUAGAUGGGCAGUUUGACUGGGGCGGUCGCCUCCUAAAGAGUAACGGAGGCGUCCAAAGGUUCCCUCAGAAUGGUUGGAAACCAUUCGCAGAGUGUAAAGGCAGAAGGGAGCUUGACUGCGAGACCGACAGGUCGAGCAGGUGCGAAAGCAGGGCUUAGUGAUCCGGCGGUAUGAGAGUGGAAUUGCCGUCGCUCAAC